GUGACAUAUGAAAGAAGAGAAAGUUUGCAUUUUCCAAGGAUAAAAGAUGUCUAACUGACCUUUUACAGCACUUAUACAAUUAAGACAUUUACCCUUCUCUGGUAUCUAACCAAGUUUGGUU
Molecule: non-coding RNA, 121 nt
Filed under: Notamacropus eugenii (tammar wallaby)
Lineage: Eukaryota; Metazoa; Chordata; Mammalia; Diprotodontia; Macropodidae
Source: RNAcentral